AUUAUUAAAAUCUUAUUUCAUAAGCUACAACAGAGUAAACCAACGAUCAACAAUUUAUUGUUGACUGAUGGUAUCAACCAAUUAAAAAUACAGGUUGUAGAACUAAUUUACAGUGAAAUUUUUUAAAUAAAAUAAACUACAUUUUGAACAUUGUUCAUCCCUGGUAUACAUAGGCAGGGGAUUUAUUGUAUGGACAAUGGACAACACUUCUGCUGCCCCAACAAACUACCAACUUCCGUCCUUCGACAUUCUCAGGAAAUGAGACAGAGUGAUCUUUGGGAGCUCAGGAGAACCCUUUUUCUUUUUCUG
RNAcentral lists this long non-coding RNA (309 nucleotides) under Trifolium pratense (red clover). Its description in RNAcentral is "long non-coding RNA (TPRA_LNC005875)". The record is from RNAcentral. Lineage: Eukaryota; Viridiplantae; Streptophyta; Magnoliopsida; Fabales; Fabaceae.